This 1846-nucleotide unclassified non-coding RNA is filed under the name Hevea brasiliensis (rubber tree). The record is from RNAcentral. Lineage: Eukaryota; Viridiplantae; Streptophyta; Magnoliopsida; Malpighiales; Euphorbiaceae.
CUCUCUCUCUCUCUCUCAUAUGCAGAUCUUGAGCUAAGCCACAAGCAUAAACAUCAGAUUUACAUCAUUAAUCUGGCAUUCAGAAUGGACUUCCACUUCCCAUCACUCACUGGAUCCAUUGCUAAACUCUGCUCCUUCACCAUUUUGCUUCUUUUCUUGCUUUCUUGCUCCACUUUCACUCCUACAGAAGCCUAUGAUGCUCUUGAUCCAAAUGGGAAUAUCACUAUCAAAUGGGACGUAAUAAGCUGGACUCCAGAUGGCUAUGUUGCAGUUGUCACCAUGUACAACUUCCAGCAAUAUCGCCACAUUCAAGCUCCAGGUUGGACAUUGGGUUGGACAUGGGCAAAAAAGGAGGUAAUCUGGACCAUGAUGGGAGGCCAAACCACAGAGCAAGGGGAUUGUUCCAAGUACAAAGGAAACGUCCCCCAUUGCUGUAAGAAGGAUCCUACUGUUGUGGAUUUAUUGCCAGGAACUCCUUACAACCAGCAGAUUGCAAAUUGCUGCAAAGGAGGAGUAAUAAACUCAUGGGCACAGGACGCUGCUACUGCAGUAAGCUCCUUCCAAGUUAGUGUAGGUGCUGCUGGAACCUCUAACAAAACAGUUAGAUUGCCAAAGAACUUCACCCUGAGAGCACCAGGGCCUGGAUACACUUGUGGGCCAGCAAAGAUUGUGAGAGCAACCAAAUUUAUUUCAUCAGAUAAAAGGAGAGUCACUCAAGCUUUAAUGACCUGGAACGUUACUUGUACGUAUUCUCAAUUCCUGGCUCAGAAGACACCCACCUGUUGUGUUUCUCUGUCCUCUUUCUAUAAUGACACAAUAGUAGGUUGCCCGACUUGUGCUUGUGGCUGUAAAAACAGCACAAAUGGACCUGGGAGCUGUGUGGAUCCGGAUGCUCCACAUUUAGCCUCUGUGGUCAGUUCAGGCAAGAAUGACCUUUCACCUUUGGUGCAGUGUACUAGCCAUAUGUGUCCAAUCCGAGUCCAUUGGCAUGUUAAGCUCAAUUACAAGGAGUAUUGGCGGGUGAAGGUCACAAUUACAAAUUUCAAUUACCGAAUGAACUACACACAGUGGAAUAUAGUUGUGCAACACCCGAACUUUGAUAACCUCACCCAGAUUUUUAGCUUUAAUUAUAAAUCACUAACUCCUUAUGAUGGAUUAAAUGAUACUGCCAUGUUAUGGGGAGUCAAGUUCUACAAUGAUCUUCUCUCACAAGCUGGCCCUUUGGGGAAUGUACAGUCAGAGCUACUUUUCCGAAAGGACAAAUCAACUUUCACUUUUGAAAAGGGAUGGGCUUUCCCUAGGAGGAUUUAUUUUAACGGUGAUAAUUGUGUGAUGCCACCUCCAGAUGCUUACCCAUGGUUGCCCAAUGACAGUUGUCGUCUGAUCAUCUCUUUAUUCCGCCUAGUCAUGGCAUUCUUGGCGUAUAUUGUUUUCUUUUUUGCAUACAUGUAAUGAAUCAUGUCUGAGCCAAACUACUGAAGGUAUCUGUUCUUCUAACAGUCUGUAAACCUGAUCUGGCAUGACCUACACGGGAACAUAAAGAAAUCCAGUCUAUGGGCUCAGAAUUCAGAUGUGUCAAGUGCUGCAAGUUAAUCCAAUACAAGGUGCUUCAGGUGCACCAUUGCCUGGUCUUCAGUUUAUGAAUUAUCAAUUAGUUGUUUUUUUUUCCCCUACAAUUUAUUUGAAAAGCAGACUGUAUUCAUGUUUCUGUAUGGUUAUUUAUGUCAUGCACAAAUCAUUUUGUCUGUAGAAUAUUGUUAGCAUAUAUAUGUUUUUAUCAUUGUAAUAAGGAAUUGUGUGAGGAAUUUAUAUUUGAUUAAUGGAUUUGUUCCUACCACUGUGUGUU